CUUUGAGAGUCUCUUGAGUUAAACCCCAGGGAGCAGCACCAAUGGAAGCAGAGGGGGGCAGGGACAGUACCAGUACUAAGGAGGCUUCCACCUUGCAGUUAUGAUCAAGUAGUUUAAUAUGGGUUGAUGGAACACGUUCAUAUACAGAGACGAAAUCAUUGUCAAGGAACUCCUAGAAUCUUUGUGGGGGAAGACAGAGGCAGAACAUCAGGGCAAAAUUGGAUCAGUUUGAUGGCUGAAGAAGUGCUGAUAUUUUACGAUGGCCCCUCAGUUUCCUCCUCCAAACUUUUUUUUUAUGAGGAGGAGGGAAAAGGACAGAGAUGGCAUGUCUGGAGACGUGAAGUGUAUAAAAUAUCUGGUGACUACAAAGGGUUUGGAAGUGUUUCAUCUUCAUUUUCUGCAAAGCUUGGAGUGACCAAAGAUUGUUUGUUCUGCUUCUCAACAGAAAAUGAAUGA
Molecule: long non-coding RNA, 456 nt
Filed under: Crocodylus porosus (Australian saltwater crocodile)
Lineage: Eukaryota; Metazoa; Chordata; Crocodylia; Crocodylidae
Description: lncRNA (ENSCPRG00005001056.1)
Source: RNAcentral